UGCGAAGGGUGCAAGCGUUAAUCGGAAUUACUGGGCGUAAAGCGCGCGUAGGUGGUUCAGUAAGUUGGAAGUGAAAUCCCCGGGCUCAACCUGGGAACUGCUUUCAAAACUGCUGAGCUAGAGUACGGUAGAGGGUGGUGGAAUUUCCUGUGUAGCGGUGAAAUGCGUAGAUAUAGGAAGGAACACCAGUGGCGAAGGCGACCACCUGGACUGAUACUGACACUGAGGUGCGAAAGCGUGGGGAGCAAACAGG
RNAcentral lists this ribosomal RNA (253 nucleotides) under uncultured bacterium. RNAcentral describes it as "partial 16S ribosomal RNA". It matches the Rfam family "Bacterial small subunit ribosomal RNA", at positions 524 to 776 of the family's 1533-position model. The record is from RNAcentral.